This 465-nucleotide ribosomal RNA is filed under the name uncultured Aeromonas sp. RNAcentral describes it as "bacterial SSU rRNA". It matches the Rfam family "Bacterial small subunit ribosomal RNA", at positions 338 to 795 of the family's 1533-position model. The record is from RNAcentral. Lineage: Bacteria; Pseudomonadati; Pseudomonadota; Gammaproteobacteria; Aeromonadales; Aeromonadaceae.
CCUACGGGCGGCUGCAGUGGGGAAUAUUGCACAAUGGGGGAAACCCUGAUGCAGCCAUGCCGCGUGUGUGAAGAAGGCCUUCGGGUUGUAAAGCACUUUCAGCGAGGAGGAAAGGUUGGCGCCUAAUACGUGUCAACUGUGACGUUCCUCGCAGAAGCAGCCACGGCUAACUCGGUGCCAGCAGCUGCGGUAAUUCGGAGGGUGCGAGCGUUAAUCGGAAUUACUGGGCGUAAAGCGCACGCAGGCGGUUGGAUAAGUUAGAGGUGAAAGCCCGGGGCUCAACCUGGGAAUUGCAUUUAAAACUGUCCAGCUAGAGGCAUGUAGAGGGGGGUAGAAUUCCAGGUGUAGCGGUGAAAUGCGUAGAGAUCUGGAGGAAUACCGGUGGCGAAAGCGGCCCCCUGGACAAAGACUGACGCUCAGGUGCGAAAGCGUGGGGAGCAAACAGGAUUAGAUACCCGUGUAGUC